GUUUCUUUUGAUGUGCUGAGAGAUCUGACAACAAUUUCCUUUUGGUAAUAACCAGCAGGACCUGAGUAACGGCUGCAUCCCUGAGGUUGAGCAGACAUACUCACCACAUACUUGGCCAGCUUCAUACCAAAGGUUCUUCAGCCUGGUUCCCAAAAGCAUUCAAGUUUGCUUCCUGAAUUCAAAAGUUCCCAGAAGCUUGUCAAGUGGACCUUCGGACCAACACUUGUAAGGCUGAUGUCCAUCUUGACCAGCACCCAGUGCAGCAGUUUGAAGUGUCGUUGACCAAGGCACCCUGCCAUCAGAAAGGGCUGCAUUCGCCCACCAGACUAUAGACGAACUGAUGCUUCUGUCAGAACAGAGAGAUGGCGAACCCUUCAUCAAGUCAUCAUCUACCAAACACCCACCACUUGGUGCCUCAGAUUUUCUUCACAGCCACUUCCUUCUUUCUCUUUAACGUCCACAUCUUUUCCUCUUUGUUGUGUUUAAAUGCAGAUGAUACAGAAUGAAAUUCCUUUGGCGUCUGUGUGCGGGAGUGCACAAAGGUAUUUAUGAAUCCUAAAUGAAGCUGGCUGCAGAGCCAAGGAGUUCCAGCAGAGCGCCGGCGUGCGUGCCCGCCGGAGUCUGAUCUUUUACACGGGAAGCUGCAUUUGAUAUCUCAUUUGUUGGCUGUGUUCCUCACAAAGCCGAGUGUUGUUUAACCCACUUUGCCAUAACAGAAGAAAACUCAGAAGACGAUGGCUGGGUAAGCGGAAGAUGAUCCUACAGACAGGGCCUGAAAUGGUCAGCGAAGGCUUCCAGGGCACGUGGGACAUACUGCCACCUUCUGGCUGGGUGUGGCCCACACUGCGGAGCUCGUGGGUGACCCGGAGAGGACUUCCCUGCCUCCAAAUCACCCAGGGGUUCCAGAAUUGCAGCCUGCACCUUGGGAACCCAGUCACCACAGAGGGAAAAUUUGGAGGACAAAAAUCAGAGAAUAUUCUUCCAAAGGAUGACAGUGGAUUUGAGGGGCCCAAGAUGAUCAAGAAGAGGGGCCUGGGUCUUCAGCCUGUCCCUGCCUGGCUGUGUCCUCUUCUGAGUCCACCUGGCAAAGGUAUGUGUGGUCUGUCUCUAGAAUUGAGGUAGGAACAACUGAGAUUCUAUUUGUGAACAUGUUUUCCUUAUGACCCUCCCACUGGAAAGCUCCAAUCUCUGGAAGUUGCUUUGAGAACUUUGAGAAUCAAGGCACGGGGCACCCACAGCAGAACUGAGAAUUAACACCUCCUUCUACAAACAAGGAAAUGGAAGCCCAGAGAGGGAAAGUAAUUUGCUCAGGAGUCACACAGCAAUUUUUUAUCUUUACCAAACUGUCUAAAGCCCAAGUAGGCCUGUCCACAGCUACUGAAAAUCACUGCGGGUGUCAGGCUUAGGGCAGGGAGGUGGGGUUGAAUCUGCCUUGCCGGGUCCCCAGCUCCAGGCUCAGGGCCAGGCUUGGGAAAAGUGUGUCUUCUGGGGCUCCGUGAGUCCUUGACCAGGACUUGGGCACAAUGCAAGCAGGACAACAAUAGGCAGUAUGUGAGAGAGCUCAGCCGGAGAGGGGUAUUGAUCAUGUUUAAAAAAAGAAACACACUAAGGAGCACAGAAAAACUUUACCAAUGCACCAGCUGGCUUAGCUAAUUAGUGAGGGUGAGCUGUGUCAGCCCCCUGCUCUGAGCCAGGGAGCAAACAACUCGCUCAACAAAUGGAACAGCUAAGGAGGAACAAAAAGCAAACGGCCACUGUCCCCUCAACUCCAGAGACUCUGUGCUGCCCAGAGAAGGGGGAUGUGAUGGGAAGGGAGUGACACAGACAGGAACUGGAGUGGGGAGUGGAGGAGAGGACAGGGACGGGCCCAGGUGGAGCCUCCCUGGGUCAAGAGAGAGGUGGCGUUUAGCAGUGAGGAGGAGGUGUCGGACGACCGGGGUGGAGCUGCACCUUCUUUCCACAGGAAGGACCUCACCGGCCCUGGAAGCACUGGCUUUGGUCUUGCCCCUAUUUGGGCAGUCAUUUGUCAUUAGGAGUCUUGCUCUGGGAUAUUCGUAACCACGGUGGGGAAGGUGGGGGGCAGCCUCUUCUUAGAGCCUGGAGACUGGCCUUGGGGAGGAGGCCUGAGCCAACGCAAGGCUAGGCACUCUGGGUGGAGGGCUUACUCUGAGCACAGUCCUGUCAGGUGAGAGCGUGUGCAGUAGGAAGGGGUGUGGACAACUGGAGGUACCUGGGUCUGGUCAGGGAAAGUGGCCCAUGGGCCGUCUGGCCUGGAACACGAGAGUGAUGAGUCCUGUCGGGGAAAGGGGUGAGCAGGGGGAGGGACCACUGGACAGUUUUGGCUCCUCAAGCGAGGGAUUCAGGCUGUUUGGGUUCAGGCAUGGAGUAACGAAAAUGAACAGAAGAAAAGGGAGAUAGAAGGAAAGAAAGAAAAGAAAAAAAGGAGGGAGGAGUAAAAAUGGAGGGGAGGGGUGGGGAAAAGAAGAAGGGAGGAAGGGCCUCAUCUGUAUCACACACAUACCUCCCACAGGGCACUUUGCCCCGGGCAACAUGGAUCACUCUCCUUCUAAACGCAAGGAAAUGCGCACAAACAGGGCCGCACAGGGAAUAAAUAAAUGGUGCAGGCACCGGCACUGACCCAAUGCAAGACAGGGUGAGCACGACCCAGGUGAGUGGCGGAGGCCCACUGCUCCCACUGUGCCUUCUUCACCAGUGCCUCCUCUCUCUGAUGCUUGACCCCAAGGCUCUUUCUCACACCGACUGGCAGCCCUGUGAUUGGGAGAAAGCCCGGCUCAGGAGGCCCCUUACCGUCCAGCCCAUGUUUCUCCGGGAGGAGAUGUGAUAGAGCAGAAAGAAGGUUGAGGCGCGGUUCACAAGAGCAUGCUUGAGUCCCCACUGCCGCAGUUCCCAGCUGGGUGAUCCUUCUCAGCGUGGUGCCUCAUCCCCGUGGACCUCUGUCUCAUCACCUGCAAAACCCAGGUAGUAAUUGGCUCCUUCAGAAGACUACAUGACAUUAUAUAGAGCAAAAAGUUGUCCCCUUUAGGCCAUGUAACCCAGAUGUUAUUAGGAAAUGUCACAUUACUAAAAGAAUUCCAAAGGGUUGAAUAUGUUUUUUUUUUCUUUUUAAAAUCACAUAAAAAGUAGUUAUUUAAUUGUGCUCUUUCCAGCCUUAGGG
RNAcentral lists this long non-coding RNA (3175 nucleotides) under Fukomys damarensis (Damara mole-rat). RNAcentral's name for it is "lncRNA (ENSFDAG00000032068.1)". Lineage: Eukaryota; Metazoa; Chordata; Mammalia; Rodentia; Bathyergidae. The record is from RNAcentral.